RNAcentral lists this ribosomal RNA (492 nucleotides) under uncultured bacterium. RNAcentral describes it as "partial 16S ribosomal RNA". It matches the Rfam family "Bacterial small subunit ribosomal RNA", at positions 29 to 507 of the family's 1533-position model. The record is from RNAcentral.
AGUGAACGCUGGCGGUAGGCCUAACACAUGCAAGUCGAACGGCAGCACAGUAAGAGCUUGCUCUUACGGGUGGCGAGUGGCGGACGGGUGAGGAAUACAUCGGAAUCUACUUUUUCGUGGGGGAUAACGUAGGGAAACUUACGCUAAUACCGCAUACGACCUACGGGUGAAAGCAGGGGAUCUUCGGACCUUGCGCGAUUGAAUGAGCCGAUGUCGGAUUAGCUAGUUGGCGGGGUAAAGGCCAACCAAGGCGACGAUCCGUAGCUGGUUUGAGAGGAUGAUCAGCCACACUGGAACUGAGACACGGUCCAGACUCCUACGGGAGGCAGCAGUGGGGAAUAUUGGACAAUGGGCGCAAGCCUGAUCCAGCCAUACCGCGUGGGUGAAGAAGGCCUUCGGGUUGUAAAGCCCUUUUGUUGGGAAAGAAAAGCAGCAGGUUAAUACCCCGCUGUUCUGACGGUACCCAAAGAAUAAGCACCGGCUAACUUCGUG